RNAcentral lists this long non-coding RNA (791 nucleotides) under Monomorium pharaonis (pharaoh ant). Its description in RNAcentral is "uncharacterized LOC118644755, transcript variant X2". The record is from RNAcentral. Lineage: Eukaryota; Metazoa; Arthropoda; Insecta; Hymenoptera; Formicidae.
CUGUUAUGGAAAACGUGUCAUCAUCGAAAAUAAUUCCAAGAUAGCCUUAGCUUUAGAAAUUAUUCUUUUUAAUUACAGUUUAUGUAGACUGCUAUUUACGAAGGAUGGUUCUGAAAAGUUUGCUAUUUAAAUUAUACAAAAGAAUAAUUUUAGCACGGAGAAUGGGAAUGUUUUUAAUAAUCCAGCAAAUGUCAAAAACAAAGUUGAAAUAUUAAGGAAGCUGAGUUCAUGAGAAACAUCCCUGUAUGAUUUAUUUGGUUGACAUCUAUGACAUGACUGAAGCCAUGAACAUCAUUUUUGAAUUAAUGGAAGGUGGUGAGCUCUUUGAUGAUAGAAUAAAAAGCAGAGGUAAACUGUCUGAACCAUGUGCAAAAAUGAUACUGACUCCCCAAAAAAGCGGUACUCUAAAAAUGUGGAAAAAAUUUUGCAUAUUUCAAAUGAUUAUAACUUCCGCAAUGCUCGUCUGAACGUAUAUGCCUCAGUUUCUUUAAUAUUUCAACUUUGUUCUUGACAUUCGCUGGAUUAUUGAAAACAUUCCCCUUCUCUGUGCAAGUAAAAUACAUAAACUGUAAUAUAAAAGAAUAAUUUUUAAAGUUAAGGCUAUCUUGGAAUUAUUUUCGAUGAUGACAUGUUUUCCGUGACCGACCAAGUUCUCAUCAACAAAUCUUCCAUCAAUAAUCUUCCAUCAUAACUUCUUUAAUAAUCAAAUAAUUAUUAUAGUAAUAAAGGAUUAUUUACCUUUGAAAAAUCUCGUUAAAUGUCACUAUCUUCUAAUAAACUUUUUAAACACA